Long non-coding RNA from Bombyx mori (domestic silkworm), 980 nucleotides. RefSeq lists it as uncharacterized. The record is from RefSeq and is a predicted model, not a curated record. NCBI's taxonomy places the organism in Eukaryota, Metazoa, Arthropoda, Insecta, Lepidoptera, Bombycidae. The transcript has 2 exons.
UUGCUAAACGUAGUGAAUAAAUUCUCUUGGUAGCCAGGCUUAUACAACAAUUAGACAAUAUCUGUCAGAUAUUUUUGUCCGUCUACUCUUUUUACUGCAAGAAAAAAAAUGAUACCCAUCAUUGACAGUAUGAUAAACAACGACAUUGCAACGCCGCGUACAGACGCGUACACUGAUCAUUUUUUUGGUAUGGAAAAAAUCUACAUUAAUUAACCCUGUGGCCUGCUGCUUGACUAAGACACGUGGGCGAGCUCAAGGGCUCAGUCAGGAGAAGAGGGUUUGCUAACAACUGCCUAAGCACCUUCAACGGAGGCCUAAUUUCUUAAGUUUCGAUGCAUUCACCACUGGUUUAGAAUCGCGACUUGCUGACAUGACUACAAAACUAUGGACUAAGGGCCGUAUCGAAUUCUUCGGCGAAUUGGAUGGGUAUAGAAGCAGAGAUAGAGAAUAGCUGUGUCAAUAGCGAAGAGCGAUAGCUGGGUCGUUAACUACCGGGAAAUGUCAUUUACUAAAAGUAGCGGAGACAGGGAAGCCUUGCAGACCUGAUUUCGAAACGAAUGGUUCGGCAAGCAUAUGUUGUAUAGUUAAACGCCUUCACAAUUUCGAAAAAACGGGGACUUUCGUGUAACCCCUUUAGGGCCAAUCGGGUCUUUUGAGAAAUUGAGUAAAUCAAAAUUCCUCGUCAAUAAGGUUGGUCUGGGAAGAGACGAAGUCUGAGAUCCGCUUGCAGAACAGACGCUCGUACGAUUUGCGUAGAGACAUGAAGAACCCAAUCGGAUGACAUACUGAACGGCAUGAGUAAAAGUCUCGCUUAUCAAGCUUCACUUACAAAAGUGUCUUACAAAAUAAAGUUUUUAUUAAUAGUAAAAACAUCCAAAAUGGCGUUAAUUGCCGGUAAAGUAAAAUCUGAGGUUGGCUAUUUGUUUCAUAACUUAUAUUAUACAAAGAUACAAUGAAAUAAAAUCAUCUUAGAAAAUGCA